Long non-coding RNA from Neltuma alba, 158 nucleotides. RefSeq lists it as uncharacterized. The transcript is spliced from 2 exons. NCBI's taxonomy places the organism in Eukaryota, Viridiplantae, Streptophyta, Magnoliopsida, Fabales, Fabaceae. The record is from RefSeq and is a predicted model, not a curated record.
AGAGAGACGGUGGACUAGGGGAAGAACGAGGAAGAAGAGGAGGUGAUUGAAGGAGACGAUCGGUUCGUUCAAAGGAGGAAAUCAAGCAAGGAUUUGAUAUUUGUUCAAGUCCAUUAAGAAGGGAGCCAAGGAAGAAGCAAGGGGAAGUUAGUACAGAA